Apaloderma vittatum (bar-tailed trogon) is the source of this 73-nucleotide non-coding RNA. The record is from Rfam. NCBI's taxonomy places the organism in Eukaryota, Metazoa, Chordata, Aves, Trogoniformes, Trogonidae.
GGCCGGUUAGCUCAGUCAGUAGAGUGUAGUGCUAAGAACGCUAAGGUCACGGGUUCAAUUCCCGUUUGGUCCC